RNAcentral lists this ribosomal RNA (253 nucleotides) under uncultured bacterium. Its description in RNAcentral is "partial 16S ribosomal RNA". It matches the Rfam family "Bacterial small subunit ribosomal RNA", at positions 524 to 776 of the family's 1533-position model. The record is from RNAcentral.
UACGUAGGGGGCAAGCGUUGUCCGGAAUCAUUGGGCGUAAAGAGCGUGUAGGCGGCCAGAUAAGUCCGCUGUGAAAUCUCGAGGCUCAACUUCGAGCUGUCGGUGGAAACUGUCUGGCUAGAGUCCGGAAGAGGAGAAUGGAAUUCCUGGUGUAGCGGUGAAAUGCGCAGAUAUCAGGAAGAACACCCGUGGCGAAGGCGGUUCUCUGGGCCGAUAUUGACGCUGAGGAGCGAAAGCGUGGGGAGCGAACAGG